Molecule: ribosomal RNA, 468 nt
Filed under: uncultured bacterium
Lineage: Bacteria
Description: partial 16S ribosomal RNA
Rfam family: Bacterial small subunit ribosomal RNA
Source: RNAcentral
GACGAACGCUGGCGGCGUGCUUAACACAUGCAAGUCGAACGGAAAGGCCCUGCUUUUGUGGGGUGCUCGAGUGGCGAACGGGUGAGUAACACGUGAGUAACCUGCCCUUGACUUUGGGAUAACUUCAGGAAACUGGGGCUAAUACCGGAUAGGAGCUCCUGCUGCAUGGUGGGGGUUGGAAAGUUUCGGCGGUUGGGGAUGGACUGGCGGCUUAUCAGCUUGUUGGUGGGGUAGUGGCUUACCAAGGCUUUGACGGGUAGCCGGCCUGAGAGGGUGACCGGCCACAUUGGGACUGAGAUACGGCCCAGACUCCUACGGGAGGCAGCAGUGGGGAAUAUUGCACAAUGGGAGGAAGCCUGAUGCAGCAACGCCGCGUGCGGGAUGACGGCAUUCGGGUUGUGAACCGCUUUCGCCUGUGACGAAGCGUGAGUGACGGUAAUGGGUAAAGAAGCACCGGCUAACUACGUG